RNAcentral lists this ribosomal RNA (366 nucleotides) under Theileria velifera. Its description in RNAcentral is "SSU rRNA". It matches the Rfam family "Eukaryotic small subunit ribosomal RNA", at positions 499 to 900 of the family's 1831-position model. Lineage: Eukaryota; Apicomplexa; Aconoidasida; Piroplasmida; Theileriidae. The record is from RNAcentral.
UGUCUUGUAUUGCGUAUGAUGUGUCUUUAAACCUCUUCCAGAGUAUCAAUUGGAGGGCAAGUCUGGUGCCAGCAGCCGCGGUAAUUCCAGCUCCAAUAGCGUAUAUUAAAAUUGUUGCAGUUAAAAAGCUCGUAGUUGAAUUUCUGCUACAUUGCCUAUUCUCCUUUACGAGUUUGGGUCUUUUGUGGCUUAUCUGGGUUCGCUUGCGUUCCCGGUGUUUUACUUUGAGAAAAUUAGAGUGCUCAAAGCAGGCUUUUGCCUUGAAUAGUUUAGCAUGGAAUAAUAAAGUAGGACUUUGGUUCUAUUUUGUUGGUUUUAGGUACCAAAGUAAUGGUUAAUAGGAACAGUUGGGGGCAUUCGUAUUUA